Oxyura jamaicensis (ruddy duck) is the source of this 233-nucleotide long non-coding RNA. RefSeq lists it as uncharacterized. The transcript is spliced from 3 exons. Lineage: Eukaryota; Metazoa; Chordata; Aves; Anseriformes; Anatidae. The record is from RefSeq and is a predicted model, not a curated record.
UUCCAUACCGUAUGAUGUCACACUCAGCAAUAAAAGGUGGAAGAAGGAAGAAGAGGGGAGGGAUGGGCUCUCGUUGUGAAAACGUCUGUCCUCCUCCUGAACACUGGCUACAUGCGUUGAGGCUGUGCUCCAAGGACGUGGUCAGGCAUGGCUCAUUUGUGGGAAGUAGAGAGUGAUUUCUUUCCUCUGCACUUCCACAUAGCCUUUACUUGUUUUAUUUGUUUGUGUUUCCU